This 253-nucleotide ribosomal RNA is filed under the name uncultured bacterium. Its description in RNAcentral is "partial 16S ribosomal RNA". It matches the Rfam family "Bacterial small subunit ribosomal RNA", at positions 524 to 776 of the family's 1533-position model. The record is from RNAcentral.
UACAGAGGUCUCAAGCGUUGUUCGGAUUUAUUGGGCGUAAAGGGUGCGUAGGCGGCAGAUCAAGUUAGAUGCGAAAUACCCGGGCUUAACUCGGGAACUGCAUUUAAUACUGCUCUGCUCGAGUAUUAGAGAAGAAGCUGGAAUUUACGGUGUAGCAGUGAAAUGCGUAGAUAUCGUGAGGAACACCAGAGGCGAAGGCGGCUUCCUGGACAAUUGCUGACGCUCAGGCACGAAAGCGUGGGGAGCAAAAGGG